AUGGUUUCCUGGAGCGAUGGGUCAAGCUGUUCUUCUUCGGACGACGAGUCAGUGACUAGCCAGCUUUCUAGGACUAUCCCAUGCUAUGAAUGGAGUGGCGUUGCUCAUGAGCUCUCCUCUCGUUGUCUGCAUCGCGAGCCUUGCCUCAGGCUAGUAGCAUUUGACUCUACGGACACUGGCCGACGUUUUCUUGCUUGUGCUCAGGAGAAGGCUGAACUAAAGUGCAACUAUUUGGAGUGGAUAGACCCUGAGUGGUCAGUGGCUUUGCAGUUUUGCCUAAAUGAAUUGUGGAGCAUGUAUGAGAAAGAAAUGAAGGACAUGCUGAAAGACAAUGUUCAGCUUGCUGAAUACAAUUACAAAGUAGUUGGAGAAAAGAGGAAGAUGGAAGAAGAGCUGAGAUUUUUCAAACUUGAUUUUGCAAAAAUGGUUGCUGACAAGGAGGCUGCUAUUACUGAGCUGGGUAAUACUAGGUUGGCUCUCAAUGAUCUGAAAGAGGAGAUGGAGAAGAAGAAGCUGGCAGACCAUGGUUGCACAAACCUACAUCAGUUACCCAGGGCAAAGGCAGAGAAGGAGAGGGACAAGCUUGUGGUAGAGAGAGAACAAGUGCUCACAGAGAGAGACCAACUAAAGGAAGAGAAGAAAAGCUAG
Molecule: ribosomal RNA, 648 nt
Filed under: Triticum aestivum (bread wheat)
Lineage: Eukaryota; Viridiplantae; Streptophyta; Magnoliopsida; Poales; Poaceae
Description: partial small subunit ribosomal RNA
Source: RNAcentral